GACGAACGCUGGCGGCGUGCCUAAUACAUGCAAGUAGAACGCUGAAGCGAGGAGCUUGCUCUUCUUGGAUGAGUUGCGAACGGGUGAGUAACGCGUAGGUAACCUGCCUUGUAGCGGGGGAUAACUAUUGGAAACGAUAGCUAAUACCGCAUAACAAUGGAUGACACAUGUCAUUUAUUUGAAAGGGGCAAUUGCUCCACUACAAGAUGGACCUGCGUUGUAUUAGCUAGUAGGUGAGGUAAUGGCUCACCUAGGCGACGAUACAUAGCCGACCUGGGAGGGAGGUCGGCCACACUGGGACUGGGACACGGCCCAGACUCCUACGGGAAGCAGCAGUAGGGAAACUUCGGCAAUGGGGGCAACCCUGACCGAGCAACGCCGCGGGAGUGAAGAAGGGUUUCGGAUCGUAAAGGUCUGUUGUAAGUCAAGAACGGGUGUGAGAGUGGAAAGUUCACACUGUGACGGUAGCUUAACAGAAAGGGACGGCUAACUACGUG
This 497-nucleotide ribosomal RNA is filed under the name uncultured bacterium. RNAcentral's name for it is "partial 16S ribosomal RNA". It matches the Rfam family "Bacterial small subunit ribosomal RNA", at positions 28 to 507 of the family's 1533-position model. The record is from RNAcentral.